GACGAACGCUGGCGGCGUGCCUAACACAUGCAAGUCAACUUGACUGAAGGAGCAAUCUGACAGUAGAGUGGCGCAAGGGUGCGUAACGCGUAAGUAACUUGCCCAAGGUAAGGAAUAACGUCGAGAAAUCGGCGCUAAUACCUCAUAAUGCAGCGGAUCCGCAUGGAUAUGUUGUUAAAGGUUUACCGCCUUGGGAUAGGCUUGCGUCUGAUUAGUUAGUUGGUGUGGUAACGGCACACCAAGGCUACGAUCAGUAACUGGUCUGAGAGGAUGAUCAGUCACACUGGAACUGAGACACGGUCCAGACUCCUACGGGAGGCAGCAGUGAGGAAUAUUGGGCAAUGCUCGAAAGAGUGACCCAGCAACGCCGCGUGGAGGAUGAAGGUAUUCUAUAUCGUAAACUCCUGUGAGAGCAGACGAAAGACAGAUUAUUAAUCUGAUGACUGUAUGCUCAGAGG
This 458-nucleotide ribosomal RNA is filed under the name uncultured bacterium. RNAcentral's name for it is "bacterial SSU rRNA". It matches the Rfam family "Bacterial small subunit ribosomal RNA", at positions 28 to 487 of the family's 1533-position model. The record is from RNAcentral.